RNAcentral lists this ribosomal RNA (253 nucleotides) under uncultured bacterium. Its description in RNAcentral is "partial 16S ribosomal RNA". It matches the Rfam family "Bacterial small subunit ribosomal RNA", at positions 524 to 776 of the family's 1533-position model. The record is from RNAcentral.
UACGUAGGGGGCAAUCGUUGUCCGGAUUUAUUGGGUUUAAAGGGUGCGUAGGCGGCUUUGUAAGUCAGUGGUGAAAUAUGGCAGCUCAACUGUCAGGGUGCCAUUGAUACUGCGGAGCUUGAGUACAGAUGAGGUAGGCGGAAUUGACGGUGUAGCGGUGAAAUGCUUAGAUAUCGUCAAGAACACCGAUAGCGAAGGCAGCUUACUGGGCUGUAACUGACGCUGAGGCACGAAAGUGUGGGGAGCAAACAGG